GACGAACGCUGGCGGCGUGCUUAACACAUGCAAGUCGAACGGAAAGGCCCUGCUUUUGUUGGGUGCUCGAGUGGCGAACGGGUGAGUAACACGUGAGUAACCUGCCCUUGACUUUGUGAUAACUUCAGGAAACUGGGGCUAAUACCGGAUAGGAGCUCCUGCUGCAUGGUGGGGGUUGGAAAGUUUCGGCGGUUGGGGAUCGACUCGCGGCUUAUCAGCUUGUUGGUGGGGUAGUGGCUUACCAAGGCUUUGACGGGUAGCCGGCCUGAGAGGGUGACCGGCCACAUUGGGACUGAGAUACGGCCCAGACUCCUACGGGAGGCAGCAGUGGGGAAUAUUGCACAAUGGGCGGAAGCCUGAUGCAGAAACGCCGCGUGCGGGAUGACGGCCUUCGGGUUGUAAACCGCUUUCGCCUGUGACGAAGCGUGAGUGACGGUAAUGGGUAAAGAAGCACCGGCUAACUACGUG
This 468-nucleotide ribosomal RNA is filed under the name uncultured bacterium. Its description in RNAcentral is "partial 16S ribosomal RNA". It matches the Rfam family "Bacterial small subunit ribosomal RNA", at positions 28 to 507 of the family's 1533-position model. The record is from RNAcentral.